Molecule: ribosomal RNA, 464 nt
Filed under: uncultured bacterium
Lineage: Bacteria
Description: partial 16S ribosomal RNA
Rfam family: Bacterial small subunit ribosomal RNA
Source: RNAcentral
CUACGGGGUGCUGCAGUGGGGAAUAUUGGACAAUGGGGGAAACCCUGAUCCAGCAAUACCGCGUGGAGGAAGAAGGUUUUUGGAUUGUAAACUCCUGUCGUAGGGGAGGAAGUCUUAUUUCAAAAUAUGUCUUAAGAUUGACUGUACCCUAAGAGGAAGCACCGGCUAACUCCGUGCCAGCAGCCGCGGUAAUACGGAGGGUGCAAGCGUUGUUCGGAAUUACUGGGCGUAAAGUGGGUCUAGGCGGAAAGAUAAGUCAGGUGUGAAAGACCUCAGCUCAACUGAGGAAAUGCGCUUGAAACUAUUUUUCUUGAGAUAUGGAGAGGUGAGUAGAAUUCCUAGUGUAGCAGUGGAAUGCGUAGAUAUUAGGAGGAACACCAACGGCGAAAGCAGCUCACUGGCCAUAUUCUGACGCUAAAGCACGAAAGCGUGGGGAGCAAACAGGAUUAGAUACCCGAGUAGUC